AGAGUUUGAUCAUGGCUCAGAUUGAACGCUGGCGGCAGGCCUAACACAUGCAAGUCGAACGGUAACAGGAAACAGCUUGCUGUUUCGCUGACGAGUGGCGGACGGGUGAGUAAUGUCUGGGAAACUGCCUGAUGGAGGGGGAUAACUACUGGAAACGGUAGCUAAUACCGCAUAACGUCGCAAGACCAAAGAGGGGGACCUUCGGGCCUCUUGCCAUCAGAUGUGCCCAGAUGGGAUUAGCUAGUAGGUGGGGUAACGGCUCACCUAGGCGACGAUCCCUAGCUGGUCUGCGAGGAUGACCAGCCACACUGGAACUGAGACACGGUCCAGACUCCUACGGGAGGCAGCAGUGGGGAAUAUUGCACAAUGGGCGCAAGCCUGAUGCAGCCAUGCCGCGUGUAUGAAGAAGGCCUUCGGGUUGUAAAGUACUUUCAGCGGGGAGGAAGGGAGUAAAGUUAAUACCUCUGCUCAUUGACGUUACCCGCAGAAGAAGCACCGGCUAACUCCGUGCCAGCAGACGCGGUAAUACGGAGGGUGCAAGCGUUAAUCGGAAUUACUGGGCGUAAAGCGCACGCAGGCGGUUUGUUAAGUCAGAUGUGAAAUCCCCGGGCUCAACCUGGGAACUGCAUCUGAUACUGGCAAGCUUGAGUCUCGUAGAGGGGGGUAGAAUUCCAGGUGUAGCGGUGAAAUGCGUAGAGAUCUGGAGGAAUACCGGUGGCGAAGGCGGCCCCCUGGACGAAGACUGACGCUCAGGUGCGAAAGCGUGGGGAGCAAACAGGAUUAGAUACCCUGGUAGUCCACGCCGUAAACGAUGUCGACUUGGAGGUUGUGCCCUUGAGGCGUGGCUUCCGGAGCUAACGCGUUAAGUCGACCGCCUGGGGAGUACGGCCGCAAGGUUAAAACUCAAAUGAAUUGACGGGGGCCCGCACAAGCGGUGGAGCAUGUGGUUUAAUUCGAUGCAACGCGAAGAACCUUACCUGGUCUUGACAUCCACGGAAGUUUUCAGAGAUGAGAAUGUGCCUUCGGGAACCGUGAGACAGGUGCUGCAUGGCUGUCGUCAGCUCGUGUUGUGAAAUGUUGGGUUAAGUCCCGCAACGAGCGCAACCCUUAUCCUUUGUUGCCAGCGGUCCGGCCGGGAACUCAAAGGAGACUGCCAGUGAUAAACUGGAGGAAGGUGGGGAUGACGUCAAGUCAUCAUGGCCCUUACGACCAGGGCUACACACGUGCUACAAUGGCGCAUACAAAGAGAAGCGACCUCGCGAGAGCAAGCGGACCUCAUAAAGUGCGUCGUAGUCCGGAUUGGAGUCUGCAACUCGACUCCAUGAAGUCGGAAUCGCUAGUAAUCGUGGAUCAGAAUGCCACGGUGAAUACGUUCCCGGGCCUUGUACACACCGCCCGUCACACCAUGGGAGUGGGUUGCAAAAGAAGUAGGUAGCUUAACCUUCGGGAGGGCGCUUACCACUUUGUGAUUCAUGACUGGGGUGAAGUCGAAACAAGGUAACCGUAGGGGAACCUGCGGUUG
RNAcentral lists this ribosomal RNA (1522 nucleotides) under metagenome. RNAcentral's name for it is "bacterial SSU rRNA". It matches the Rfam family "Bacterial small subunit ribosomal RNA". The record is from RNAcentral.